Molecule: ribosomal RNA, 744 nt
Filed under: uncultured bacterium
Lineage: Bacteria
Description: bacterial SSU rRNA
Rfam family: Bacterial small subunit ribosomal RNA
Source: RNAcentral
AGAGUUUGAUCAUGGCUCAGAACGAACGCUGGCGGCAGGCUUAACACAUGCAAGUCGAACGCUCGUAGCAAUACGGGAGUGGCAGACGGGUGAGUAACGCGUGGGAACAUACCCUCCGGUUCGGAAUAGCUCAGGGAAACUUGGAUUAAUACCGGAUACGGCUGAGAGGCGAAAGAUUUAUCGCCGGAGGAUUGGCCCGCGUUCGAUUAGCUUGUUGGUGAGGUAACGGCUCACCAAGGCGAUGAUCGAUAGCUGGUCUGAGAGGAUGAUCAGCCACAUUGGGACUGAGACACGGCCCAAACUCCUACGGGAGGCAGCAGUGGGGAAUAUUGGACAAUGGGCGCAAGCCUGAUCCAGCCAUGCCGCGUGAGUGAUGACGGCCUUAGGGUUGUAAAGCUCUUUCGCUCGGGACGAUAAUGACGGUACCGAGAUAAGAAGCCCCGGCUAACUUCGUGCCAGCAGCCGCGGUAAUACGAAGGGGGCUAGCGUUGUUCGGAAUUACUGGGCGUAAAGCGCGUGUAGGCGGGUCUUUAAGUCAGGGGUGAAAUGCCAAGGCUCAACCUUGGAACUGCCUUUGAUACUGGAGAUCUUGAGUCCGAGAGAGGUGAGUGGAAUUGCGAGUGUAGAGGUGAAAUUCGUAGAUAUUCGCAAGAACACCAGUGGCGAAGGCGGCUCACUGGCUCGGAACUGACGCUGAGACGCGAAAGCGUGGGGAGCAAACAGGAUUAGAUACCCUAGUAGUCC